GACGAACGCUGGCGGCGUGCUUAACACAUGCAAGUCGAGCGGUAAGGCCCUUCGGGGUACACGAGCGGCGAACGGGUGAGUAACACGUGGGUGACCUGCCCUCCACUCUGGGAUAAGCCUGGGAAACCGGGUCUAAUACCGGAUAUGACCUCCGCAUGCAUGUGCGGUGGUGGAAAGGUCUGGCGGUGGGGGAUGGGCCCGCGGUCUAUCAGCUUGUUGGUGGGGUGAUGGCCUACCAAGGCGACGGCGGAUAGCCGGCCUGGGAGGGCGAUCGGCCACAUGAGGAAUGGGACACGGUCCUGAGUGCUGCAGGAGUGGGGAAUGGUGAAUCAUGGGCGAUGGGCGGAAGCAGGCCGCCGGAGCGCCGCAUGAGGGAUGACGGCUUGCGAGGUGUAAACGUCGGUCGCGAACGACGAAGCGCUUACUUCUGGUACGGGUGACGGUAGGGCGAGAAGAAGCACCGGCCACUACGUG
RNAcentral lists this ribosomal RNA (474 nucleotides) under uncultured bacterium. Its description in RNAcentral is "partial 16S ribosomal RNA". It matches the Rfam family "Bacterial small subunit ribosomal RNA", at positions 28 to 507 of the family's 1533-position model. The record is from RNAcentral.